RNAcentral lists this long non-coding RNA (578 nucleotides) under Bos mutus (wild yak). RNAcentral's name for it is "lncRNA (ENSBMUG00000021514.1)". The record is from RNAcentral. Lineage: Eukaryota; Metazoa; Chordata; Mammalia; Artiodactyla; Bovidae.
GAACUCCCUGGCGGGGGGAGGCUGAGCGGGAGGAGAUCCCGUCCCCGCGGGGCGCGUCCGGGAUUGGAAAGCUGCCUCUGAGACUCUGAAGGUUUACCUGCUGAUACUCGCUCCUUCCCAGUAACCCUCCAUCCCAAGGGGAGCCCCAGAAAGAACACCAGGGGGGCCUCCCUGCUGCCGCAGAACCACCUCACCCGCCACUCCAGCACUAAGUCAGAGCUGCCUGAGGAAGACUCCGCACACGUUUCCCUCGAGCUGGUCUGCAGGCCCCUCUGGCUGGGACCCUGUCCUGGGAGCUGCCCGUCUGCAAACAGAGAGCCCACAGUGCCUCGGGAAAAAUUGGCUGAAUAAAAGAUGCGUUGGAGGGAAGGACAGGAGAUACAGGAACGAGGAUGGAGCAGAGCAAGAUGGGGUUGAAGGAGCGUCCACAGAAGCUUCUGUGCAGGCCAGGCUGAGAGGUCACUACCCAGAAGGCUGAGGGUCCCCGAUGCUGGCCGGGCUCCAGAGACUCCUGAACUUGUGGAUGUGGAGUUUUUCCUCCUCCAGUUUUGUGAUGAAUAAAUUCACUUGUCUCCCCA